This 195-nucleotide ribosomal RNA is filed under the name uncultured bacterium. RNAcentral describes it as "partial 16S ribosomal RNA". It matches the Rfam family "Bacterial small subunit ribosomal RNA", at positions 307 to 526 of the family's 1533-position model. The record is from RNAcentral.
GCCUCCUCGCGCCAUCAGACUCCUACGGGUGGCAGCAGGUGGGAAUCUUGCGCAAUGGAACGAAAGUCUGACGCAGCAACGCCGCGUGAGGGACGAAGGCUUUCUGUAGUUGUAACCUUCUUUCGACAGGAACGAUUGUGACGGUACCUGUAGAAGAAGCACCGGCCAACUAUGUGCCAGCCGCCGCGGUAAUUC